GGAAUUUUGGACAAUGGGCGCAAGCCUGAUCCAGCAAUGCCGCGUGAGUGAAGAAGGCCUUCGGGUUGUAAAGCUCUUUUGUCAGGGAAGAAACGGGUUUUUCUAAUACAGAGACCUAAUGACGGUACCUGAAGAAUAAGCACCGGCUAACUACGUGCCAGCAGCCGCGGUAAUACGUAGGGUGCAAGCGUUAAUCGGAAUUACUGGGCGUAAAGCGUGCGCAGGCGGUUUUGUAAGUCUGUUGUGAAAUCCCCGGGCUCAACCUGGGAAUGGCAAUGGAGACUGCAAGGCUAGAGUUUGGCAGAGGGGGGUAGAAUUCCACGUGUAGCAGUGAAAUGCGUAGAUAUGUGGAGGAACACCGAUGGCGAAGGCAGCCCCCUGGGUCAAAACUGACGCUCAUGCACGAAAGCGUGGGGAGCAAACAGGAUUAGAUACCCGGG
Molecule: ribosomal RNA, 440 nt
Filed under: uncultured Duganella sp.
Lineage: Bacteria; Pseudomonadati; Pseudomonadota; Betaproteobacteria; Burkholderiales; Oxalobacteraceae
Description: bacterial SSU rRNA
Rfam family: Bacterial small subunit ribosomal RNA
Source: RNAcentral